AAUCAACGCUGGCGGCGUGCCUAACACAUGCAAGUCGAACGGGAAAGUGGAGCAAUCCAUGAGUAAAGUGGCGCACGGGUGAGUAACACGUGACUAACCUACCCUUGAGUGGGGGAUAACCUAGGGAAACCUGGGCUAAUACCGCAUAAUACCUACGGGUCAAAGGAGCAAUUCGCUUUAGAAGGGGGUCNCGGCAGAUUAGUUAGUUGGCGGGGUAAUGGCCCACCAAGACGAUGAUCUGAUCCGGCCUGAGAGGGCGCACGGACACACUGGAACUGAAACACGGUCCAGACUCCUACGGGAGGCAGCAGUGGGGAAUUUUGCGCAAUGGGGGAAACCCUGACGCAGCAACGCCGCGUGGAGGAUGAAGACCCUUGGGUCUUAAACUCCUUUCGAUCGGGACGAUAAUGACGGUACCGGAAGAAGAAGCCCCGGCUAACUUCGUGCCAGCAGCCGCCGCGGUAAU
Molecule: ribosomal RNA, 466 nt
Filed under: uncultured bacterium
Lineage: Bacteria
Description: bacterial SSU rRNA
Rfam family: Bacterial small subunit ribosomal RNA
Source: RNAcentral